AUUAAUAAUUAAUAUAUUUAAUAAAAAUAAUUUUAAUUUAAUAAAUAUUUUAAUGGGGGUUAAAGUAUUUUUUAAAGAAAAAAUUUUUAAAUUUAUAGUUAAUUAGUAUUGUGAAAGAAUUUUGAAAUAUUAUGAAAAAUAAAAUUUUUAUAAAGUAAUUUUUAUUUAUUGUAUCUUGUGUAUCAGAGUUUAUUAAAAAUUUUUAAUUUAUAAAUUAAUUUCUCGAAUUUAAAAGAGUUAAAUAAUUAUUAAAGUUAUUGUAGCAAAAUUAUUUUAAAUAAUUAUUUAGAAAUGAAAUGUUAAUCGUUUUUAAAUAUAUCUAGUUUUUAUAGAAAAAAAUUUAAUUUUAAAUUUAAAAAUUAUUUAAUUAAUUUAUUAAUUAAAUAAUUAUUUAAAUUUUAUAAUUUAAGGGAUAAGCUUUAAAUUAAAUUUUUAUAAUAUUAAAUUUUUAUUUUGAAAAUUUUAUAAUUUAUAUUGUUAAUAAAUUUUAUUUUGUUAUAAAUAAUUUCAUUUUUUUUAAAAUUUAAAUUUUAUUUAAUUUUUUAUAUAAAAUUUAUUUAUAAUUAUAUAAAGUUAAUUAUAAUGAUAAAAUUAGUAUAUUAUUUAAUAUUAAAUUAAAAUUAAUUUUUGAUUAAUAAUUAAAUUAAUUAAAAGGAAUUCGGCAAAUAUUUAUUUUCACUUGUUUAUCAAAAACAUGUCUUUUUGUUAUUUAAUUUAAAGUCUAAUCUGCCCACUGAUUUAUAAAAAUUGAAGGGCUGCAGUAUAUUGACUGUACAAAGGUAGCAUAAUCAUUAGUCUCUUAAUUGGUGACUUGUAUGAAAGAUUGGAUGAAAAAUAUACUGUCUCUUAAUUAAUAUAUAGAAUUUAAUUUUUUAUUUAAAAAGUUAAAAUAAUUUAAAAAGACGA
Molecule: ribosomal RNA, 906 nt
Filed under: Biston falcata
Lineage: Eukaryota; Metazoa; Arthropoda; Insecta; Lepidoptera; Geometridae
Description: partial 16S ribosomal RNA
Source: RNAcentral